CUACGGGGCGCAGCAGUCGCGAAAACUUUGCAAUACACGAAAGUGUGACAGGGCUAUCCCGAGUGCCAUCCGCUGAGGAAGGCUUUUACCCAGUCUAGAACGCUGGGGGAAUAAGGAGAGGGCAAGUCUGGUGUCAGCCGCCGCGGUAAUACCAGCUCUCCGAGUGGUGUGGAUGUUUAUUGGGCCUAAAGCAUCCAUAGCUGGCUAAGUUAGUCCCUUGUUAAAUCCACCGAAUUAAUCGUUGGAUCGCGGGGGAUACUGCUUGGCUAGGGGACGAGAGAGGCAGACGGUAUUUUCGGGGUAGGGGUAAAAUCCUAUAAUCCCGGGAAGACCACCAGUGGCGAAGGCUGUCUGCUAGAACGCGCCCGACGGUGAGGGAUGAAAGCUGGGGGAGCGAACCGGAUUAGAUACCCGGGUAGUCCCAGCUGUAAACGAUGCAGGCUAGGUGUUUGGACGGCCAC
This 461-nucleotide ribosomal RNA is filed under the name uncultured archaeon. RNAcentral describes it as "bacterial SSU rRNA". It matches the Rfam family "Archaeal small subunit ribosomal RNA", at positions 323 to 786 of the family's 1478-position model. The record is from RNAcentral.